AUUAAUAAGCGGAGGAAAAGAAACUAACGAGGAUUCCCUCAGUAACGGCGAGUGAAGCGGGAUGAGCCCAGCACCGAAUCCCCCGCCUCUGACGGCGGCGGGAACUGUGGUGUUUAGGACAGCCUAUGGGGAUCGAUUGGGGGUCCGAGUCCCUCUGAUUGGGGCUUCACCCAGAGCGGGUGGCAGGCCUCUACGGCCCCCGGUCGGUUCUCUAAGGUCGUCCUAGGAGUCGGGUUGUUUGAGAAUGCAGCCCAAAGCGGGUGGUAAACUCCAUCUAAGGCUAAAUACAGACACGAGUCCGAUAGCGCACAAGUACCGUGAGGGAAAGUU
RNAcentral lists this ribosomal RNA (330 nucleotides) under Lumbricillus arenarius. Its description in RNAcentral is "eukaryotic LSU rRNA". It matches the Rfam family "Eukaryotic large subunit ribosomal RNA", at positions 42 to 365 of the family's 3401-position model. Lineage: Eukaryota; Metazoa; Annelida; Clitellata; Enchytraeida; Enchytraeidae. The record is from RNAcentral.